RNAcentral lists this ribosomal RNA (533 nucleotides) under Crocidura goliath. Its description in RNAcentral is "partial 16S ribosomal RNA". It matches the Rfam family "Bacterial large subunit ribosomal RNA", at positions 1816 to 2586 of the family's 2925-position model. The record is from RNAcentral. Lineage: Eukaryota; Metazoa; Chordata; Mammalia; Eulipotyphla; Soricidae.
CACCUCUAGCAUUGCCAGUAUUAGAGGCACUGCCUGCCCAGUGACAUUAGUUAAACGGCCGCGGUAUCCUGACCGUGCAAAGGUAGCAUAAUCAUUUGUUCCUUAAUUAGGGACUUGUAUGAACGGCCCCACGAGGGUUUAACUGUCUCUUACUUUUAAUCAGUGAAAUUGACCUUCCCGUGAAGAGGCGGGAAUACAAAAAUAAGACGAGAAGACCCUAUGGAGCUUAAAUUAAUAUGUUCAACAGAAUUUAAUUAUAACCCAAUAGGAAUAAAAACAUUCUAACUGAACAAUAAAUUUUGGUUGGGGUGACCUCGGAGUAUAACAUAACCUCCGAGCAAUUAAACCAAGACUUACCAGUCAAGGCCAUAUAACUUAUUGAUCCAAUCUUAUUGAUCAACGAAACAAGUUACCCUAGGGAUAACAGCGCAAUCCUAUUUAAGAGUUCAUAUCGACAAUAGGGUUUACGACCUCGAUGUUGGAUCAGGACACCCAAAUGGUGCAGCAGCUAUUAAAGGUUCGUUUGUUCAACG